This 466-nucleotide small RNA is filed under the name Pongo abelii (Sumatran orangutan). RNAcentral describes it as "processed transcript". The record is from RNAcentral. Lineage: Eukaryota; Metazoa; Chordata; Mammalia; Primates; Hominidae.
GGGAACCGAACCGCCGCGCCUCGCCCAGGACAGGUACACUUAGAGGCCUUGGCGGGGCGGUGAUUGUCCAAAAGUUCUGGUGGGCCUGUGCAUUGUUGGCUGUGUGAUGGAUGAGAAUUGUCAAGCUGGAGAAAAAUGUUGCAAGUCAGGCUGUGGCCGCUUCUGUGUCCCACCAGUCCUGCCCCCAAAACUGACCACGAACCCCAACUGGACUGUGAGGUCUGAUUCUGAAUUAGAGAUCCCGGUGCCCUAGCUGUGCUGAUUUGUCUGGAGCUUCUUUGGUAAUUCUGGAAGCUUUUCCUGGCAGUCAAGAGGGUGACAUCCUGGGGCUUGUGACAUUUCCAGGGGCACUCAUGGCCCUCUCUGCUCUGCUUCUCCUCCUGCCACUGACCAGAGCAUGGGAAAUAGCCCUGGAUUGGGCAGUGGGUGUGUGGUGCUUCUCUUUCCCAAUAAAGGCUGGUGCUGA